This 926-nucleotide long non-coding RNA is filed under the name Dasypus novemcinctus (nine-banded armadillo). RNAcentral describes it as "lncRNA (ENSDNOG00000052066.1)". The record is from RNAcentral. Lineage: Eukaryota; Metazoa; Chordata; Mammalia; Cingulata; Dasypodidae.
GUCUUCUGGCUGUGGUGACCUGUCACUCUGAGAGGCUGGGGCAGAGAAAGAUCUUGAAGUGUAAUGUACCCGUUUUAGGCCUCUGUCUUGGCCUUGGGCUCAGGUUUUACCUUGUUCAUUCCCCAAACUUCCUGCCAAUGACUAACUUCCAAUAUGAAACCGUGCUCUGCAAGAGCCCUAUGAAACCCGAAAAAAAUUGGAAAUGGACACGGGGGCUGCUGUCCAAAAUUGUUAAGGAAAUCUGACACCCCACCCUGAAGAAAAAUAACAGGAGGCCCAAGAGCAAGUCAUCUCUGGGUUGUGAAUACCAACAAAAGAUAAUCAGAGCAAUGCUAUACAAACAGCCAGCUCUCCUCAGUGUUUGCCCCAACACCAACCUUCCAAUCAAGUUUUAGGGCAGUUUCAGCUGAAAUUUCUUCCAGUCAGAAAGACAAACACCAUCGCAGUGUUUCCUCCAGAGACUUCACAGAUUCUCCGUUUGAACUUAUACCGGUGAUGUGUUUUCUUCUCUUCACACGGACUACAUAUACCAGCAUCCCAAAGUCUCAGACAUUAGCAUGUUUACUCAGCUGAGAUUAUGGCUGCUUCUUUUUCUGUGGUAGAAGAAACUUCACCAUUAUCUCUGCUAAAGCUGAGAUUGCAUGAUAAACUUGGGACAUGAGAAACUUAUCAUCUGUCAUCAAAGGAGAAUAAUAGAGAAGGACAUACUCAGACUCUUCCACCAACUCUUCCUCUUAUUCUUUACUAGCCAACCCAAACUCUCUAGAAACAUUUUAAAACAAGGCAUAUUCUAAAAUGUAUUGACCACUUUAAAUUAUCAAGUUGUCAAGUGUAUCCUAUCUAAACAGAAGCUUCAGUCAUAUGUUCCCUACAACCUAAUAUUGUUUCUUAACCCCUAACACAGUUCCUCUAAAAGAAUAGCCCUU